Molecule: long non-coding RNA, 319 nt
Organism: Mesocricetus auratus (golden hamster)
Lineage: Eukaryota; Metazoa; Chordata; Mammalia; Rodentia; Cricetidae
Exons: 2
Source: RefSeq, a predicted model, not a curated record
AGGUUACUGAAUGAAUGAUGAAUGUGUGACUUCAGUGGAGUCUACCCAAACCAACAGACACCAUGCAACAUUAUCCCGAAUAAGAAACUGAUGCAAAGAGAUGGAAAUCUUCUCAUCUGACAUAUUUCAACACCAUAGCAGCCACUGAGAUCUUGUCCCAGCUAGGCAAAGUGGUACAGGCCCCAAAUCCCAGAAUUCAGAAGGCAGAGGCAGAAAUAUCUACUUUGAAACUGGUCUUAAAAACAAAACUCCUUGUUGGGCUGAUUUAACUUGUUGUAAGUCAAAAAUGAUCCUAGGAAUUACAAUGUGUUAUUUCUUC